UUGUGGGUAAAUUGCACUUUUAAUUAUGAGUGAACUGAACCCUACUCACUCUCCACAGUCCACAGCCCCUCUCUAUAAAGCUGGUAAACAGAUUGUCUGGUAGAGUGGUCCACGAGGGACUCUGUAUGGGCAAUGGUCAUUUCUCGCCUCCUGCUCUCUCUCUCUCUCUCUCUCUCUCUCUCUCUCUCUCUCUCAAACACACACAGAUGGCAUUAUAUAUGUCUUCUGUACAAGAAAGACACAAGAGAUGUCCAUGAGAAUCAAUUAGCUGAGAUCUGAGGAAAAAGUGGGCGGGCGGGUGAAAGUUUGUGGAAGUUCUGGUCAUGCUGUUCCACAGCUUUCUUGAACUUCUUGAUCUGCUUAAUCUAUGAGAUUAACACCGUGGAGGAAGCUCAAGAAAGCUGUGGGAUAACAUGGCAUUUCAGGAUUUUGUUGGUGUUCCCUUCACAUGUUUCUAGCUGUUGACACUAGAUCUCGAUCUCCCUAUUCCUAGCUCCAUGCGGCAUUAAUUCAAGGCGGCUUUUACCAUCCUUUCAUCUGCAUGAUUGUGGUUGGAAUGACUACGGGAUCCCGAAUCAUCUUCGUUCCUGAUGAUAAGCUAGAAGUUACGAAGGUCAUUCAAUAAUUAAUAAUUUUCUAAGGAAAUUACUUUUUCUCUUUUGAUUCUUUAUAUAUAAGCAUUAUAUGUAACUACAAACCAGCGCCCAGCUGCUUGAUUGUUUAAUUGCUAAAGAGAAUAUGCCCAAACAUCUUUUUUAA
Molecule: long non-coding RNA, 759 nt
Organism: Carya illinoinensis
Lineage: Eukaryota; Viridiplantae; Streptophyta; Magnoliopsida; Fagales; Juglandaceae
Exons: 2
Source: RefSeq, a predicted model, not a curated record